AUAGAAGGGCAAUGUAAGAGUUUGUGAGUGUCCUAUUGUGGAAGGUGUUCAAUAUAAGGGUGAUGGUUAUACAACAUGUGAAGCUUUUGGACCUGCAAGAUGUGAACAAUGGAGGCUGUUGGUCAGAAACUGGAAAUAAAAUUACUUUCUCAGCUUGUUCAUCAUGCAACAUUGGGACUCUACAAAAAGGUUCUUUAUCGAGCUCCAAAAGCUUUAAAUAGGUACUGUGAUGGUUCUGAUCUAUAAGAGAUAGGAAUACAUGAAUUUGGGAUGAAGUUUCCAUUUCUGUUACUGGGGUAAGUCGCCUGAACUAUAAUUGAUGAUACUUCCAGCAACCCUUUGGUACGAUGAUUCU
Molecule: long non-coding RNA, 355 nt
Organism: Vicia villosa (hairy vetch)
Lineage: Eukaryota; Viridiplantae; Streptophyta; Magnoliopsida; Fabales; Fabaceae
Exons: 4
Source: RefSeq, a predicted model, not a curated record